Molecule: ribosomal RNA, 216 nt
Filed under: Glomeromycotina sp.
Lineage: Eukaryota; Fungi; Glomeromycota
Description: partial small subunit ribosomal RNA
Rfam family: Eukaryotic small subunit ribosomal RNA (bases 40-216)
Source: RNAcentral
GGGUCAGUAGGUUGGUCGUGCCACCGGUACGUACUGGUCUCACUGAUUCCUCCUUCCUGAAGAACCGUAAUGCCAUUAAUUUGGUGUCGCGGGGAAACAGGACUGUUACUUUGAGAAAAUUAGAGUGUUUAAAGCAAGCUAACGCUUGAAUACAUUAGCAUGGAAUAAUGAAAUAGGACGAUCGAUCCUAUUUUGUUGGUUUCUAGGAUUGACGUA